This 23-nucleotide non-coding RNA is filed under the name Arabidopsis thaliana (thale cress). Lineage: Eukaryota; Viridiplantae; Streptophyta; Magnoliopsida; Brassicales; Brassicaceae. The record is from RNAcentral.
UAUAUGUUAGACUGUUAGUACGU